UUCUGCGGUUUAUUUUCGCUGGGUUUUUUUCGUCGUCCUCACACCUCCGGUUUUUUUUCGUCGCCAACGACGACCCCUCGCACGAAAGAAACCUCGCGAUCGAGGCUGCCCUCAUCUAUUCGCUACAACGACGGGAGCCAUGCCGCCGCCGCCACCGCCACCGCGAUCCCUGAAACGCCGCUGAUCUAUUCGCUACAUCGAUGGAAACCAGGCGCUAGCCACGGAUCCCUUUGCCGGCGCCGAGCAGUCAUCGAGGAGCCGGCGCCGAGGUCCUAAGGAGGCGCCGCCGCCAUCGUUGCAGGCCUCCGGGUUGCCAUCGGGACACCGCUGCCGAGAUCCGCCUUCGCCUUCGUCCGGCAGAGGCGGCGGAAGGCAGCCGGGAGGGGAAGUGCACAACGACCUGGAAGACAUCCGCCCUCACGCGCUCAUCGUCUUGCUCGAUCUACACGAGGGCUGCCGAUGGGCGCCUCGGCGGCGGCCACGGCGAGAUCUGCGUCUGGGACAUGACAAUCCCUCCACCCCGGUCGCCGGUGAGAUUUCACUGCCUCGAUCCUCCCGGUCCCAGUUUAUCAGGUCAUCCCUGACAAGAGGGAGCGAGAGAUGCUACUGCCGGGCACGUGCACGCACGUGGGGCGGCCGCCUACGAGCAGGGCCGCGUCCUCUCUCCUUCGUCGACUAUGGCCUCCGAACCACUCCAUUGUACCUCUGCGCCCAAGUGUCCGCUCCUCGAUCUUCAACAGAUUUGUUAUCGCCUCUCUUCCGUUGCAGUUCUGAAAACCAGUGAACAAGGAGAAAUUUGGAGAUGCAGUUCUAAAAACCAGUGAACAAGAAGCACAUGGGAGCCGCUCAAUGCUCUACUAUUGAAAGUUGAGUAGGUGAUUAUGAGAUGAAGACGCUGGAAGAAGUUGGUGUGGUUGUUCGUCAGUAAAACUUAUCUGUAGUCAAGUCAUACCCAGCCCGUUGACCAUCAUCCGAAUGCUUCUGAUAAUAAUCAAGUGUUUUCUAUUGAAUAUGUUACAAUCCAUUCUGAAGCAAACUGGGUUACUAGCAGUUUAAGAAGAUGUUAUACACCUGACUGACAAAGAUCUUUUUUAUAUCCACAAGGCAUUUCAUGACGAUCCAACUAUAUUGCUGAUCAAAUAGAAAAUAUGUAAUUUUCUGUUUCGGUAAUAAACAGGCAAUUCAACGUAUAGCUGGGGCAGCCUGAUUUCCUCUUACACAUGCCCGCUAGCAGCAGCAGUUACGACCAGGCGGUUGCGGCCUGACUUGGUGGCUCUUCCUUUUUGUUUUGUGUUUGAAUCAGAUUUGGUGGUCUCGAUUUUACAGGCAUGUGUUGAUCUUGGUCUUGUUCUGUAUGCAAGUAGGGUACACUUGAUGUUUCAUGUUUGGUGAAAGAAAAGGAGCUUCCUAUGUUGAUUUCGGGCAAGACAUACAUUCUGCCAUGCAUUAGUAGAUCAAUUGCUUCUUUGUGUAGGGGAACGAUUAGUGAUUGAAUCUCUCUGUCUCGUUUCUUGAUUAUCCAAUUAAUUUACCCUCAUUUAUGCAUAAAUUGGUCCGAUUGAGUUAUGCCAUUUUUUUUAAUAAUCUAUAUUGGUUCUAUAUAUGACUAGAACAAUAUGAUACGAUGCACAUCGGUCCGCUUUACUGGCAGCUAUCCUUCAAGAUUGAGGGGAGGCACUCUUGUGGACCUGCUCAAUGUUCGAGGAGAUACUGCUGACUAAACAAGGUUAUUUUAAAGUUCUGUGUGGUUCAUGUUAGCUAUCUAUCAGUAAUAGUACAACCUUGAUUUUUAUGUCGUUCAGGUUUACCUAACCAUCAGUAACAUUACUUUCUAUUGGAGACUUCUUACAGGAGGUGCUUAUAAAAUGAUAGUUGAACAUGUACAGAUUUUGGAUCACGAUCAUCUAUUUACCAGGCAUCAGUUAACUCAAGGCAUCGAUCAAAAUCUAGCGUUCUUUGUUGUGUGCAUCAUGGAGAAGACAAAGAACAGAGAUUGUGUGAUAUAUCCGAUAGCGCAAUAUAAUUUUCUCUUGCAUAUUUAUAAUCUGCCAUUUGAAUGAUGUUUUCUGUGUUGUAGUCAAAUCAAGACAAUUUGCAACUUUGGUGUUGUGACGUUGGAGGUCGUGCUCAACAGCAAUGGGGGACUGUUCGUUGAUGCCCGACCCAUGAUGCCGGCGAAGGAAUGAGAGUCGACGAGGAGUGGACGCCAUGGGUUCGUGAACUGGCGAAGCCUCCGUUGUCCGUUUUGUAAUGUCCGACGCAUCAGAGGCAUAGUAUGACUUGUCUCGAUUAUGAUGCCGUCUACAAACAUCCAACGGAGGGGAACCCGUCCCAGUUUCCAUCUUGAUGACUACAAAUAGAGGGAAGUUGGUCUGUGCCUUACUAGAGACAGAUGAACCAAUAAAAUGAUUGGAAAGGUUCUUCCCAAGGAAAAGGACGCCGCCGUCGCUUCGGAUCCCCACACGCCGCCAGCAUGGGCCGUGACAACUGAUGAGCACGCUCCACCCCCAUUCCUGCCACAGAUGAAGAAAAGUAGGCUCAAUCAGGCCAUGACCAGAGUUGAAGAAGGCUCAACAAAUUGUCUGAUAAUGUAACACUCCUGAAUAGAUUGAUGUAUGAUAAGCACAUGUGUUAAUUUUGGAGCAGAUGAUAGAUUGUCAGUUGUGCUGAAUUGAUAUUUAAUGACUAUUCAUAUCAAA
Triticum aestivum (bread wheat) is the source of this 2699-nucleotide long non-coding RNA. RefSeq lists it as uncharacterized. Lineage: Eukaryota; Viridiplantae; Streptophyta; Magnoliopsida; Poales; Poaceae. The transcript is spliced from 5 exons. The record is from RefSeq and is a predicted model, not a curated record.